AUUGAACGCUGGCGGCAGGCUUAACACAUGCAAGUCGAGCGGGGGAAGGUAGCUUGCUACUGGACCUAGCGGCGGACGGGUGAGUAAUGCUUAGGAAUCUGCCUAUUAGUGGGGGACAACAUCUCGAAAGGGAUGCUAAUACCGCAUACGUCCUACGGGAGAAAGCAGGGGAUCUUCGGACCUUGCGCUAAUAGAUGAGCCUAAGUCGGAUUAGCUAGUUGGUGGGGUAAAGGCCUACCAAGGCGACGAUCUGUAGCGGGUCUGAGAGGAUGAGCCGCCACCCUGGGAAUGAGACAGGGCCCAGACUCCGACGGGAGGCAGCAGUGGGGAAUAUUGGACAAUGGGGGGAACCCUGAUCCAGCCAUGCAGCGUGUGUGAAGAAGGCCUUAUGGUUGUAAAGCACUUUAAGCGAGGAGGAGGCUACUCUAGUUAAUACCUAGGGAUAGUGGACGUUACUCGCAGAAUAAGCACCGGCUAACUCUGUGCCAGCAGCCGCCGUAA
RNAcentral lists this ribosomal RNA (501 nucleotides) under uncultured bacterium. Its description in RNAcentral is "partial 16S ribosomal RNA". It matches the Rfam family "Bacterial small subunit ribosomal RNA", at positions 30 to 523 of the family's 1533-position model. The record is from RNAcentral.